This 301-nucleotide ribosomal RNA is filed under the name uncultured bacterium. RNAcentral's name for it is "partial 16S ribosomal RNA". It matches the Rfam family "Bacterial small subunit ribosomal RNA", at positions 509 to 807 of the family's 1533-position model. The record is from RNAcentral.
CAGCAGCCGCGGAAACACAGAGGGUGCGAGCGUUAAUCGGAUUUACUGGGCGUAAAGCGUGCGUAGGCGGCUUUUUAAGUCGGAUGUGAAAUCCCUGAGCUUAACUUAGGAAUUGCAUUCGAUACUGGGAAGCUAGAGUAUGGGAGAGGAUGGUAGAAUUCCAGGUGUAGCGGUGAAAUGCGUAGAGAUCUGGAGGAAUACCGAUGGCGAAGGCAGCCAUCUGGCCUAAUACUGACGCUGAGGUACGAAAGCAUGGGGAGCAAACAGGAUUAGAUACCCCCGUAGUCCCUGUCUCUUAUAC